Molecule: ribosomal RNA, 234 nt
Filed under: uncultured bacterium
Lineage: Bacteria
Description: partial 16S ribosomal RNA
Rfam family: Bacterial small subunit ribosomal RNA
Source: RNAcentral
CAGUCUGCCUUGGAGUGGGGGAAUAACGGCUGGAAACAGCCGCUAAUACCGCAUGAUACAGCUGGGAGGCAUCUCCCUGGCUGUCAAAGAUUUAUCGCUCUGAGAUGAGCUCGCGUCUGAUUAGCUAGUUGGCGGGGUAACGGCCCUCCAAGGCGACGAUCAGUAGCCGGACUGAGAGGUUGGCCGGCCACAUUGGGACUGAGACACGGCCCAGACUCCUACGGAAGGCAGCAG